GUGGCGGACGGGUGAGUAACGCGUGGGUAACCUGCCUCAUACAGGGGGAUAACGGUUAGAAAUGACUGCUAAUACCGCAUAAGCGCACAGUACCACAUGGUACGGUGUGAAAAACUCCGGUGGUAUGAGAUGGACCCGCGUCUGAUUAGCUGGUUGGUGGGGUAACGGCCCACCAAGGCGACGAUCAGUAGCCGACCUGAGAGGGUGACCGGCCACAUUGGGACUGAGACACGGCCCAG
RNAcentral lists this ribosomal RNA (239 nucleotides) under uncultured bacterium. RNAcentral describes it as "partial 16S ribosomal RNA". It matches the Rfam family "Bacterial small subunit ribosomal RNA", at positions 95 to 334 of the family's 1533-position model. The record is from RNAcentral.